Long non-coding RNA from Cervus elaphus (red deer), 555 nucleotides. RefSeq lists it as uncharacterized. NCBI's taxonomy places the organism in Eukaryota, Metazoa, Chordata, Mammalia, Artiodactyla, Cervidae. The transcript has 4 exons. The record is from RefSeq and is a predicted model, not a curated record.
UGUUGGAUGUCAUCAGUGAAAUGCUCAGACUGAACUCAUCAAAGAAGGAAUCGGCUAGGCCUUACCUGGCUCCUGACAGUACCAAUCCAGGCAGAGAUGUUUGGGCCUGAAGAGGAAGAAUUCUUCCAGGGUGUUGGAAAGGCAUCUUCACGACAAGCUGAAGCCAAAUGGAGGCAUUUGAGAACAAAUGGUUUUGAAAAAUCCUGGACAUUCGGUGAGAUACUCAUAGAGAACAUCAGGAACUUUUCCAGUGAGUCGGCUCUUCACAUCAAAUGACCAAAAUACUGGAGCUUCAGCUUUAGCAUCAGUCUUUCCAACAACUAUUCAGGGGUAAUUUCCCUUAAGACUGCCUGGUGUGAUCUCCUUGAUUCAAGGGACUCUCGGGAGUCUUCUCCAGCCCCACGGUUUGAAGGCAUCGGUUCUUUGGCAUCCCGCCUUCUUUACUGUCCAGCUCUCACCACUGUAGGUGACCACUGGGAAGACCAGAGCCGUAACUGUAUGGAUCUUUGUCGGCAGAGUUUUUUGCUUUUCAACACACUGUCUAGGUUUGUCAUC